AUACGUAGGGGGCAAGCGUUAUCCGGAUUUACUGGGUGUAAAGGGAGCGUAGACGGAAGGCCAAGUCUGAUGAGAAAGCCCGCGGCUCAACUGCGUGACUGCAUAGGAAACUGGUCAUCUGGAGUGCAGGAGGGGCAAGCAGAAUUCCUAGUGUAGCGGUGAAAUGCGUAGAUAUUAGGAUGAACACCUGUGGCGAAGGCGUCUUAGUGGACAGUAAAUGACACGGAGGCACGAAGGCGUGGGGAUCAAACAGGUUUAGAUACCCUGGUAGGCCACGCAGUAGACGAUGCACACUAGGUGGUGGGUAGUAGCGCUCAGUACCGUAGCGACCGCGUUAAGUGUGCCGCCUGGGGAGUAUGCUAGCAAGGGUGAAGCUCAAAGGAAUUGACGGGG
This 393-nucleotide ribosomal RNA is filed under the name uncultured bacterium. RNAcentral's name for it is "partial 16S ribosomal RNA". It matches the Rfam family "Bacterial small subunit ribosomal RNA", at positions 523 to 918 of the family's 1533-position model. The record is from RNAcentral.